This 339-nucleotide unclassified non-coding RNA is filed under the name soil metagenome. Its description in RNAcentral is "partial contains 5.8S ribosomal RNA, internal transcribed spacer 2, and large subunit ribosomal RNA". The stretch from base 1 to 120 matches the Rfam family "5.8S ribosomal RNA", at positions 35 to 154 of the family's 154-position model. The record is from RNAcentral.
GAUGAAUAACGCAGCGAAAUGCGAUAACUAAUGUGAAUUGCAGAAUUCAGUGAAUCAUCGAGUCUUUGAACGCACAUUGCGCCCCCUGGUAUUCCGGGGGGCAUGCCUGUCCGAGCGUCAUUGCUGCCCUCAAGCACGGCUUGUGUGUUGGGCUCCGUCCCCCCGGGGACGGGCCCGAAAGGCAGCGGCGGCACCGAGUCCGGUCCUCGAGCGUAUGGGGCUUUGUCACCCGCUCUGUAGGCCCGGCCGGCGCCAGCCGACAACCCAUCAUCCUUUUCAGGUUGACCUCGGAUCAGGUAGGGAUACCCGCUGAACUUAAGCAUAUCAAUAAGCGGAGGA